AGCAUUAAGCCGGAAAUAACGGAUUACUUUGAUGAAGUAAAUUAUAGGCUCAUACACCUUAAUGCUU
Molecule: transfer RNA, 67 nt
Filed under: Anodonta nuttalliana
Lineage: Eukaryota; Metazoa; Mollusca; Bivalvia; Unionida; Unionidae
Description: tRNA-Ile
Source: RNAcentral